UCAGGUAGGACUACCCACUGAACUUAAGCAUAUCAAUAAGCGGAGGAAAAGAUACUAACCAGGAUUCCCCUAGUAACUGCGAGUGAGGCGGGAAAAGCUCAAAUUUAAAAUCUGGUGGUCUCCGGCCAUCCGAGUUGUAACCUAGAGAAGUGUUACCCGCGUCGGACCGUGUACAAGUCUCCUGGAAUGGAGCGUCAUAGAGGGUGAGAAUCCCGUCUUUGACACGGACCCCCGAGGCUUUGUGGUGCGCUCUCAAAGAGUCGAGUUGUUUGGGAAUGCAGCUCAAAAUGGGUGGUAAAUUCCAUCUAAAGCUAAUAUGGCGAGAGACCGAUAGCGAACAGUACCGUGAGGGAAAGAUGAAAAGAACUUUGGAAAGAGAGUUAAACAGUACGUGAAAUUGCUGAAAGGGAAACGCUUGAAGUCAGUCGCGUCGGCCGGAAAUCAGCCUUGCUCUUGCUUGGUGUACUUCCUGGUUGACGGGCCAGCAUCAGUUUUGACCGGUGGAUAAAGUUGUGAGGAAUGUGGCAUCUUCGGGUGUGUUAUAGCCUCGCUUCGUAUACAUCGGUUGGGACUGAGGAACUCAGCACGCCGAAAGGCCGGGGUUCGCCCACGUUCGUGCUUAGGAUGUUGGCAUAAU
This 637-nucleotide ribosomal RNA is filed under the name uncultured Basidiomycota. RNAcentral's name for it is "LSU rRNA". It matches the Rfam family "Eukaryotic large subunit ribosomal RNA", at positions 11 to 635 of the family's 3401-position model. Lineage: Eukaryota; Fungi; Basidiomycota. The record is from RNAcentral.